UGCACUCACUACUGUAAGUCGCUCUGGAUAAGAGCGUCUGCUAAAUGGCUAAAA
This is a non-coding RNA of Salmo salar (Atlantic salmon), 54 nucleotides long. The record is from Rfam. Lineage: Eukaryota; Metazoa; Chordata; Actinopteri; Salmoniformes; Salmonidae.